Molecule: ribosomal RNA, 254 nt
Filed under: uncultured bacterium
Lineage: Bacteria
Description: partial 16S ribosomal RNA
Rfam family: Bacterial small subunit ribosomal RNA
Source: RNAcentral
UACGUAGGGGCCAAGCGUUGUCCGGAUUUAUUGGGCGUAAAGAGCUCGUAGGCGGUUCGGCAAGUCAGCUGUGAAAUCUCCACGCUCAACGUGGAGGGGUCAGCUGAUACUGCUGUGACUCGAGUCCGGUAGGGGAGUGUGGAAUUCCUGGUGUAGCGGUGAAAUGCGCAGAUAUCAGGAGGAACACCGGUGGCGAAGGCGGGUCUCUGGGCCGAUACUGACGCUGAGGAGCGAAAGCGUGGGGAGCGAACAGG